This 296-nucleotide ribosomal RNA is filed under the name uncultured bacterium. RNAcentral describes it as "partial 16S ribosomal RNA". It matches the Rfam family "Bacterial small subunit ribosomal RNA", at positions 775 to 1067 of the family's 1533-position model. The record is from RNAcentral.
GGAUUAGAUACCCUGGUAGUCCACGCAGUAAACGUUGAUCACUAGGUGUAGCGGGUAUUUACCCCCGCUGUGCCGCAGCUAACGCAUUAAGUGAUCCGCCUGGGAAGUACGGCCGCAAGGCUAAAACUCAAAGGAAUUGACGGGGGCCCGCACAAGCGGUGGAGCAUGUGGUUUAAUUCGACGCAACGCGAAGAACCUUACCUGGGUUUGACAUCCCGGGAAUUUCUAUGAAAAUAGAAAGUGCCCUUCGGGGAGCCCGGUGACAGGUGCUGCAUGGCUGUCGUCAGCUCGUGCCG